GUCCGUACACCCUGUGAUAUUAAAACUUCUACUGAAUACAGUGACCUGAUCUGUUGUUUCUCCAAUGGUGUUGCUGAGUUCCUCUUCCCUCUUGUAAUCCUAAAGCCCAGGAUUUUAACUUGAACACUCAGGGAAAGCAGACUUCGUGAUCUCCAUGCUAACUACCAGCCUGCCUGCUGCCAGUUCUCCCUACUUCUGCCAGUGAUGACAUUCAGCUCGCUCCUCCACGCGGGAUACAGCACUGAUUCCUCAUUAUGUAAGGCAGUCUAGGUCAAGUGUAGGAGAGAGACUGCUGGCCUGAGCAAGCUAGUGGAUUGCUCCCUCAGCUUCAUCUUCAUGGGGUCUGGAAGC
Nothoprocta perdicaria is the source of this 351-nucleotide long non-coding RNA. RefSeq lists it as uncharacterized. NCBI's taxonomy places the organism in Eukaryota, Metazoa, Chordata, Aves, Tinamiformes, Tinamidae. The record is from RefSeq and is a predicted model, not a curated record. The transcript has 2 exons.